RNAcentral lists this ribosomal RNA (253 nucleotides) under uncultured bacterium. RNAcentral's name for it is "partial 16S ribosomal RNA". It matches the Rfam family "Bacterial small subunit ribosomal RNA", at positions 524 to 776 of the family's 1533-position model. The record is from RNAcentral.
UACGGAGGAUGCAAGCGUUAUCCGGAAUGAUUGGGCGUAAAGCGUCCGCAGGUGGCAAUGUAAGUCUGCUGUCAAAGCGUCUGGCUCAACCAGAUAAAGGCAGUGGAGACUACAUAGCUAGAGUAAGGUAGGGGUAGAGGGAAUUCCUGGUGUAGCGGUGAAAUGCGUAGAGAUCAGGAAGAACACCGGUGGCGAAAGCGCUCUGCUGGACCUUAACUGACACUGAGGGACGAAAGCUAGGGGAGCGAAUGGG